RNAcentral lists this unclassified non-coding RNA (817 nucleotides) under Hevea brasiliensis (rubber tree). Lineage: Eukaryota; Viridiplantae; Streptophyta; Magnoliopsida; Malpighiales; Euphorbiaceae. The record is from RNAcentral.
CUGAGCUCUGCCAAUCUUCUGAAUCUUUUAAGAAGGCUUAGAAGCCUCACCUCUGCAUGCCAAGACCACUACCCAAACUCCCUUUCUUCUUGUAGUUGACUUCAUUGAUUUUAUAUUUAUACAUUGAUAGCCAUGUUUUCCACAAUGGAAUCCAUCGCCCAGGCUGCUUCAAACUCUCUUUUCAUCUUCUGCUUUUGCAAUUUAAUCCUAUUCAUCAUCCUCGUCACAGCCUCCAAACCCGCCUCCUGCUGACAUCAAAAGAACCAAGUUCCUUUAUUGACUGUCACAAAUGCAAAUAUGAAUGUGAAACAAGCGAAUACCACCAAGCAUUUUCCGGAUGUCAGCAAAGUGUCAAAUGCUGCAGAAGCACAAAUUCAAGAAAAUGCCAAUGAUGACCACAGCAGGGACAAUAAUGAAGAUGAUGAAUUUAGGAGAAAAGUUGAAGAAUUCAUUGACAAAGUUAACAGAGGAUGGAAGGCAGAACUUCUGAGGAAAUCAAAGAGUCUAGAAAAUAAUUUGCAGCAACUAGAAUUGUAAAUUUGCCAUUGUUUGUAACCCAACCAUAGCUCACAAGGAAGGAAGAGAGCGCCUGAAAUAGAGAUUUGAGAUAUUGUUGCUGCUUUGCAACGAGACUGGAGAGGCAUUCUUGAUUUGUACCGAUAAAAUUCUAAUUGAUAAUUUCAGAUCCAUUUCAAGAAUUUCUUUCAAAACACUCUGACAACUGAAUGUACUAUCAGCGGUGAGGUCUAUGGUUUUCUGCUUUGUUUUUUCGUCGUUCUAUCGUUGCCCAUCUCAUUGGCAAGUUAUUCAAUAGUGG